GAUGAACGCUAGCUACAGGCUUAACACAUGCAAGUUGAGGGGAAACGGCAUUAAGUGCUUGCACUUUUUGGACGUCGACCGGCGCACGGGUGAGUAACGCGUAUCCAACCUGCCCCUUACCAGGGAAUAACCCGUUGAAAGACGGACUAAUGCCCUAUGCAGUCCUUUGACGGCAUCAGAUUAGGACUAAAGAUUCAUCGGUAUGGGAUGGGGAUGCGUCUGAUUAGCUUGUUGGCGGGGUAACGGCCCACCAAGGCAUCGAUCAGUAGGGGUUCUGAGAGGAAGGCCCCCCAAAAGAGAACUGAAACACGGUCCAAACUCGUGGGGGAGGAGGCAGGGGGGAAUAUGGGGCAAGGGGCCUGGACCUGAACCAGCAAAGGAGCGGGAAGGACGCCGGCCCUGUGGGUUGUAAACUGCUUUUAUGGGGGGAAAAAGUCACCCACGUGGGGGGGUUGGCAGGUACCGAUGGAAAAAGGACCGGCAAAUUCCGU
This 491-nucleotide ribosomal RNA is filed under the name uncultured bacterium. RNAcentral describes it as "partial 16S ribosomal RNA". It matches the Rfam family "Bacterial small subunit ribosomal RNA", at positions 28 to 506 of the family's 1533-position model. The record is from RNAcentral.